RNAcentral lists this long non-coding RNA (403 nucleotides) under Aquila chrysaetos chrysaetos. RNAcentral's name for it is "lncRNA (ENSACCG00020002544.1)". The record is from RNAcentral. Lineage: Eukaryota; Metazoa; Chordata; Aves; Accipitriformes; Accipitridae.
GGAAAACCGUGCAAGCAUGGCUGUUACCAGUCCCCAGCAGUGCUGCUUUCAGAGGACUAAAAGGUCUGCCUGUUCCCAGUCUUCAAGUCAGCAGGGAAGAAGGAUGCAUGGAAGGUUUAAAGCUUUAAGGACCUUAUGUGGCCGGCAUCUGAGGGCCAAACCCCAGCCAACCUUUGAACUUCAAGCAAUGGAGAAGCAACAGUGCAGCUGCACUUGUACGGGUUUGAGCCUGUGCCCUGUGACUAAACAACAUCUAACUGAUGAAGGUCCAUUUAAACUGGAGAAAUCUCAUAAGAAAUGUCAAAGUCAGCUACCCAGAGGGAAUGAGAGAUAUGAAGAAUGGGAUGGAAAGCCAACAGCCUCAUCUAGAGCAUGCUUUGCUUAUGGAGCCAUCCAUUUCUGA